This 366-nucleotide long non-coding RNA is filed under the name Monodelphis domestica (gray short-tailed opossum). Its description in RNAcentral is "lncRNA (ENSMODG00000029887.2)". The record is from RNAcentral. Lineage: Eukaryota; Metazoa; Chordata; Mammalia; Didelphimorphia; Didelphidae.
GAGGAAGGAGCUUGUCAGCCCAGUCUGCUGCAGUGUGCCACCUCUUUCUUGGUUCAGCCUGAAGAUUCAAGCCCAGUCUCUUCUAAAGCUACUACCUUGGGUCAGUAAAUGAAGCAGAGGGAGCAGCACAACCUUUCUCCAUCAUUGAUUUGUGAACUUCAAAAGGCCUGAAGAUCUGGUCAGCUGGGAAUUCAAAACUACCAAGUUCUGCUAUUGUGCAGUGCAUUUGUCUCCAUAGUGUGCUCCAGGACAAUGUGAGAUACUUGAUUAAAUUUUUUGCUAAAUGUGAGGUAAACUAUAGCUAUAACAUUCCUGUCUUCUAACCAAAUAAGCCAAGAAAUAAAAAUAAAACUAAUCUGGUGUGAC